UGCGAGGGGAACGAACGUACGCACGUAGGGUUUUUGAGCUUCGAUGGAGUCGAGAUCGGGGCAUCGUAGCCUCCGUUCCUCCUCCCAGACUGAGGACCACAUCAGCGCCCUCCCCGACGACCUGCUCCUCCUGAUCCUCGCCCGCCUCCGAUGCAUCGCCACCGCCGUGCGCACCAGGGUCCUCUCCCGCCGCUGGAGCGGCAGCGGCGGCCUCUGGACCCGCCUCCACGAGAUCGUCUUCCGCGACGUUACCUUCCCCUCGCUCGAAGCGGCGCUCGGCCGCGUCAACGCUCCCGCGGUUUCCCUCCUGGAAAUCCGCGUCCCCUAUGUGCACCGGCCGGGCACCAAAACCCACGUCGGCAGCCUCGGUUUCAACUCGCUGCUGCGCGCUGCCGCGCGGCUCGCGCCGGAGGAGUUCGUCUUCCGCUUCCCGUCAGACUUAACCGAUCGUUCCCUCGUCGUCGACCUGCCUUGCUUCCCCCGCACCACCUCCAUCGUCCUGGUCAACUUUUUCCUCUUCCUCCGCGUGCCGGACGGCGUCGACUUCCCGGCGCUAGAGACGCUGUCUCUGUCGGGCAGGGUCCCCGAUCUCGACCCGUUGCUCUCCUGCUGCCCGCGCUUGCGGGCGCUCCGGCUGCGCAAUGUUAUCCAUGGGGGCGACCUGAGGGUCAGCUCGCUGUGGCUGCAGGAGCUCUUCGUCGCCCGCUUGUACCAAAGGAAGCACCGUAUCGACAUCGUCGCCCCCAUGCUCAAGCAAUUGAGCAUGUCCUUUGUCUCCUCGGGUGGCAGCAUCUCCGUCUUGGCACCAAUGGUGGAGAAGGUCUCAUGGGACUGCAGGUACCACGAUCCGUCUAUUGUGUCUAUUGUGUUUGGUCUUUGGAGGCUAGAGCGGGUGACACUACAGAUGGGAGAGAGACAAGGACAUGUCCCUACACUGAAGAUUUGUUCCCGCACCACCUCGCGUGUUUUAGGCAACGAAGAGCACACCUUUGCACAGGAGAUAGAGAAGCACAUGAUUGCUGGAUUUUCUGUUUUGGAACUACAUCUCACAACAAAUGGACAUGCUUUUGGAGCGCUCGUGUUUCAUCUCCUUAAGAUGGCUCGAAUUUGUGGUUCUAUACGCAGGCUUAAGGUCAUCCUAGAGAGAUCAACGAUGAAAGAAGAAUGCCCAUUUGAUUGUUUUUGUGAGCCUUGGAACUGGAGAUCUCAAACCAUCUCCUUGUCUGCUCUCGAGGAAGUGGAGGUCAACGGGUUUCAAGGAUACGGUCAGGAGAUUGAUUUCUUGAAACUGAUAUCCCAAUGUGCACCAAUGCUUAAAAAGACGACAAUGAUGUUGUCAGAGGAGACCACGGCAAGUAAUGAUGAAUGCGCAAAGAUAUAGAACAUCUUCAAGGCAUAUUCGUCUGUGCAUUACAAUGUUUACCACAACUCUGUUGCGAUGGUGACCGGAGCUUGCUUCAUUUUGUAUCUUCUGCAAGGUUAAUGCACGACAGCCAGAAUUGCUCGUCCACGUGAUACUCAUCCUUACAUAUGUGGAUUCAUGGUGCGCAUCAACAAGAACAUCCUUUCCCAUGCUGACCAACACUAUUAUCUCGUCUCAAGACUUUGCUUGGUUGCUUUGAUUGUCUAUCAUCUGAUGUGUUCUUUUGGUAGAGUAGCUUAGCUAUAUAUAAGGUGCUCUUAGUUACCCUUGAAUGGUUUCUUUCCAUUCAGUCAUUUAAGUUAAUGCACUCUACCUAUUCCAGUCAAUUACUGUAAGCUAGUAAUUAUGUUAAGCCUACUAUUUCAAUUUCUACUUGUGAUCCUUCAUUGUGCCGAUGGACUACAUGUUUUCACCGGAAGUAAACUGAGCAGCAGUGAAAGGU
Molecule: RNA transcript, 1865 nt
Organism: Triticum aestivum (bread wheat)
Lineage: Eukaryota; Viridiplantae; Streptophyta; Magnoliopsida; Poales; Poaceae
Exons: 4
Source: RefSeq, a predicted model, not a curated record